Molecule: transfer RNA, 93 nt
Filed under: Felis catus (domestic cat)
Lineage: Eukaryota; Metazoa; Chordata; Mammalia; Carnivora; Felidae
Rfam family: tRNA
About the family: Transfer RNA (tRNA) molecules are approximately 80 nucleotides in length.
Source: Rfam by way of RNAcentral
ACCUGGGUGGCUCAGUCGGUUGAGUAUCUGACUCUGGAUCUUGGCUCAGGUCAUGAUCUCACAUGAUUGUGGGUUUGAGCCCCACCUUGGGUU